Molecule: ribosomal RNA, 658 nt
Filed under: uncultured bacterium
Lineage: Bacteria
Description: bacterial SSU rRNA
Rfam family: Bacterial small subunit ribosomal RNA
Source: RNAcentral
AGGGUUUGAUCCUGGCUCAGAUUGAACGUUGGCGGCAGGCCUUAUACAUGCAAGUCGAACGGUAACAGCAGAGCUUGCUCUGGCUGACGAGUGGCGGACGGGUGAGUAACGCGUAGGAAUCUACCCAGUAGCGGGGGAUAGCCCGGGGAAACCCGGAAUAAUACCGCAUACGCCCUACGGGGCAAAGGGGGCCUCUUCUUGAAAGCUCUCACUAUUGGAGGAGCCUGCGUUGGAUUAGCUAGUUGGUGAGGUAAUGGCUCACCAAGGCUACGAUCCAUAGCUGGUCUGAGAGGACGAUCAGCCACACUGGAACUGAGACACGGUCCAGACUUCUACGGAAGGCAGCAGUCGGGAAUAUUGUCCAAUGGGGGAAACCCUGAGACAGCCAUGCCGCGUGUGUGAAGAAGGCCUUAGGGUUGUAAAGCACUUUCAGUAGGGAGGAAUUAGCGCGAUUAAUACUCGCGUCAAGUGACGUUACCUACACAAGAAGAUCCGGCUAACUCCGUGCCAGCAGCCGCGGUAAUACGGAGGGAUCGAACGUUAAUCGGAAUUACUGGGCGUAAAGCGCGCGUAGGCGGUCUGUUAAGUGGGAUGUGAAAGCCCCGGGCUUAACCUGGGAAUUGCAUUCCAAACUAAUAGACUAGAGUACGAUAGAGGG